GCGCCCUGCUGGACAGUGACUGACGCUGAGGCACGAAAGCGUGGGGAGCAAACAGGAUUAGAUACCCUGGUAGUCCACGCCGUAAACGAUGAGUGCUAGGUGUUGGGGGGACACACCCCAGUGCCGAAGGAAACCCAAUAAGCACUCCGCCUGGGGAGUACGGUCGCAAGACUGAAACUCAAAGGAAUUGACGGGGGCCCGCACAAGCAGUGGAGCAUGUGGUUUAAUUCGAAGCAACGCGAAGAACCUUACCAGGGCUUGACAUCCCUCUGACCGGUGAGAGAUGUACCUUCCCUUCGGGGCAGAGGAGACAGGUGGUGCAUGGUUGUCGUCAGCUCGUGUCGUGAGAUGUUGGGUUAAGUCCCGCAACGGCGCAACCCUUGAUCUGUGUUACCAGCACGUAGAGGUGGGGACUCACAGGUGACUGCCGGCGUAAGUCGGAGGAAGGCGGGGAUGACGUCAAAUCAUCAUGCCCUUUAUGUCCUGGGCUACACACGUGCUACAAUGGGCGGUACAACGGGAAGCGAAGCCGCGCAGGUGGAGCAAAACCUAAAAAGCCGUUCGUAGUUCGGAUUGCAGGCUGCAACUCGCCUGCAUGAAGCCGGAAUUGCUAGUAAUCGCGGAUCAGCAUGCCGCGGUGAAUCCGUUCCCGGGCCUUGUACACACCGCCCGUCACACCACGAGAGUCGGCAACACCCGAAGUCGGUGAGGUAACCGUUAUGGAGCCAGCCGCCGAAGGUGGGGUUGAUGAUUGGGGUGAAGUCGUA
This 767-nucleotide ribosomal RNA is filed under the name uncultured Alicyclobacillus sp. RNAcentral describes it as "bacterial SSU rRNA". It matches the Rfam family "Bacterial small subunit ribosomal RNA", at positions 721 to 1490 of the family's 1533-position model. Lineage: Bacteria; Bacillati; Bacillota; Bacilli; Caryophanales; Alicyclobacillaceae. The record is from RNAcentral.